CAGUGGGGGCCCCCCGGGCCCCUGCCGAGAUAGCACCCCUCGUCUUUUCCGAGCACCCAACGUUUCCUCGGCGGGCCCGCCCGCCAACGGGGACCACAAACAAACCUUAAAACCGCAGUGUAAGCAGUACAAACCGUAUACAACCCAAAAAAAUCA
RNAcentral lists this unclassified non-coding RNA (156 nucleotides) under uncultured Tetraplosphaeria. RNAcentral describes it as "sequence contains ITS1". The record is from RNAcentral. Lineage: Eukaryota; Fungi; Ascomycota; Dothideomycetes; Pleosporales; Tetraplosphaeriaceae.